RNAcentral lists this ribosomal RNA (467 nucleotides) under uncultured bacterium. RNAcentral's name for it is "partial 16S ribosomal RNA". It matches the Rfam family "Bacterial small subunit ribosomal RNA", at positions 28 to 507 of the family's 1533-position model. The record is from RNAcentral.
GACGAACGCUGGCGGCGUGCUUAACACAUGCAAGUCGAACGGAAAGGCUCCAGCUUGCUGGAGUACUCGAGUGGCGAACGGGUGAGUAACACGUGGGUAAUCUGCCCUGCACUCUGGGAUAAGCCUGGGAAACUGGGUCUACUACUGGAUAUGACCUUUCUCCUUAUGGGGUUUGGUGGAAAGUUUUUCGGUGUAGGAUGAGCUCGCGGCCUAUCAGCUUGUUGGUGGGGUGAUGGCCUACCAAGGCGACGACGGGUAGCCGGCCUGAGAGGGUGAUCGGCCACAUUGGGACUGAGAUACGGCCCAGACUCCUACGGGAGGCAGCAGUGGGGAAUAUUGCACAAUGGGCGGAAGCCUGAUGCAGCGACGCCGCGUGAGGGAUGACGGCCUUCGGGUUGUAAACCUCUUUCAGCAGGGAUGAAGCGUAAGUGACGGUACCUGCAGAAGAAGCACCGGCUAACUAUGUG